Molecule: unclassified non-coding RNA, 297 nt
Organism: Fukomys damarensis (Damara mole-rat)
Lineage: Eukaryota; Metazoa; Chordata; Mammalia; Rodentia; Bathyergidae
Gene: 7SK
Rfam family: 7SK RNA
About the family: 7SK was discovered as an abundant small nuclear RNA in the mid-70s but a possible function has only recently been suggested. Two independent studies have found that 7SK RNA binds the CDK9/cyclin T complex (known as elongation factor P-TEFb).
Source: Ensembl
CAAAAGGGCAGUCUGGCUACAACACUUGUCACCUCAUCAAUCGCCAGAGUUGAUUUGGCUGAUCUGGCUGGCUAGGCAGGUGUCCCCUUCCUCCCUCAUCGUUCCAUGCGUGUCCCUCCAAAGCUACACAGUAGUCAAAAUAGGCGACCAUUCCUGAGAGAGGAGGACUGUUUCCUCAGUCAAGAGUGUAAGAGUAGCUGCACUCCCUUUCUAGAACCUCCAAACCAGCUCCCAAAAGGGAGGUAAAAUCAGCAUAUGCGAUUGUAAGGACAGCAAUGUUGAUGAAUUGGAAUGCAU